AGUGAACGCUGGCGGUAGGCCUAACACAUGCAAGUCGAACGGCAGCACAGUAAGAGCUUGCUCUUACGGGUGGCGAGUGGCGGACGGGUGGGGAAUACAUCGGAAUCUACUUUUUCGUGGGGGAUAACGUAGGGAAACUUACGCUAAUACCGCAUACGACCUACGGGUGAAAGCAGGGGAUCUUCGGACCUUGCGCGAUUGAAUGAGCCGAUGACGGAUUAGCUAGUUGGCGGGGUAAAGGCCCACCAAGGCGACGAUCCGUAGCUGGUCUGAGAGGAUGAUCAGCCACACUGGAACUGAGACACGGUCCAGACUCCUACGGGAGGCAGCAGUGGGGAAUAUUGGACAAUGGGCGCAAGCCUGAUCCAGCCAUACCGCGUGGGUGAAGAAGGCCUUCGGGUUGUAAAGCCCUUUUGUUGGGAAAGAAAAGCAGCAGGUUAAUACCCCGCUGUUCUGACGGUACCCAAAGAAUAAGCACCGGCUAACUUCAUG
RNAcentral lists this ribosomal RNA (492 nucleotides) under uncultured bacterium. RNAcentral's name for it is "partial 16S ribosomal RNA". It matches the Rfam family "Bacterial small subunit ribosomal RNA", at positions 29 to 507 of the family's 1533-position model. The record is from RNAcentral.